RNAcentral lists this ribosomal RNA (253 nucleotides) under uncultured bacterium. RNAcentral describes it as "partial 16S ribosomal RNA". It matches the Rfam family "Bacterial small subunit ribosomal RNA", at positions 524 to 776 of the family's 1533-position model. The record is from RNAcentral.
UACGUAGGGGGCUAGCGUUGUCCGGAAUCAUUGGGCGUAAAGAGCGCGUAGGCGGCCCGGUAAGUCCGCUGUAAAAGUCCAGGGCUCAACCCUGGAAAGCCGGUGGAUACUGUCGGGCUCGAGUCCGGAAGAGGCGAGUGGAAUUCCCAGUGUAGCGGUGAAAUGCGUAGAUAUUGGGAGGAACACCGGUGGCGAAGGCGGCCCCCUGGACCGGUAUUGACGCUGAGGCGCGAAAGCGUGGGUAGCAAACGGG